Molecule: ribosomal RNA, 1124 nt
Filed under: Streptomyces sp. RB21
Lineage: Bacteria; Bacillati; Actinomycetota; Actinomycetes; Kitasatosporales; Streptomycetaceae
Description: bacterial SSU rRNA
Rfam family: Bacterial small subunit ribosomal RNA
Source: RNAcentral
GGCAUUGCGGGUGCUUACCAUGCAAGUCGAACGAUGAACCACUUCGGUGGGGAUUAGUGGCGAACGGGUGAGUAACACGUGGGCAAUCUGCCCUGCACUCUGGGACAAGCCCUGGAAACGGGGUCUAAUACCGGAUACUGAUCCUCGCAGGCAUCUGCGAGGUUCGAAAGCUCCGGCGGUGCAGGAUGAGCCCGCGGCCUAUCAGCUAGUUGGUGAGGUAACGGCUCACCAAGGCGACGACGGGUAGCCGGCCUGAGAGGGCGACCGGCCACACUGGGACUGAGACACGGCCCAGACUCCUACGGGAGGCAGCAGUGGGGAAUAUUGCACAAUGGGCGAAAGCCUGAUGCAGCGACGCCGCGUGAGGGAUGACGGCCUUCGGGUUGUAAACCUCUUUCAGCAGGGAAGAAGCGAAAGUGACGGUACCUGCAGAAGAAGCGCCGGCUAACUACGUGCCAGCAGCCGCGGUAAUACGUAGGGCGCAAGCGUUGUCCGGAAUUAUUGGGCGUAAAGAGCUCGUAGGCGGCUUGUCACGUCGGUUGUGAAAGCCCGGGGCUUAACCCCGGGUCUGCAGUCGAUACGGGCAGGCUAGAGUUCGGUAGGGGAGAUCGGAAUUCCUGGUGUAGCGGUGAAAUGCGCAGAUAUCAGGAGGAACACCGGUGGCGAAGGCGGAUCUCUGGGCCGAUACUGACGCUGAGGAGCGAAAGCGUGGGGAGCGAACAUGAUUAGAUACCCUGGUAGUCCACGCCGUAAACGGUGGGCACUAGGUGUGGGCAACAUUCCACGUUGUCCGUGCCGCAGCUAACGCAUUAAGUGCCCCGCCUGGGGAGUACGGUCGCAAGGCUAAAACUCAAGGAAUUGACGGGGGCCCGCACAAGCAGCGGAGCAUGUGGCUUAAUUCGACGCAACGCGAAGAACCUUACCAAGGCUAGACAUACACCGGAAAACCCUGGAGACAGGGUCCCGCUUGUGUCGGUGUACAGUGAUGCAUGGCUGUCGUCAGCUCGAGACGUGAGAUGUUGGGCUAAGUUCCCGCAACGAGCGCACCCUAGUCCCGUGUGCAGCCAGCCCUUGUGUGCUGGUGACUCCUGUAGAACCGCUGGGUCACUCUCGAAGAAUGUUCG